GUGGGGGAGAGCGGCCGCCGGCACAGCGCAGCGCAGCUCGGCGCGGAUCGGCUCGUAUCAGUGCAUCCUCCCAUGGGUUCCAUCUGAGAGAGAGGAACUGGAGGGACUGAGUUCACGGUGCAUGGAGGUGAUGCUGGAGCACAGAACCACCUCUGGUUUCAGGGUCGCUGCUGCAGGGUGAGAAACAGAGACGUGCAAUGAAACACACCACCUCCUGGCAGAUGCUUUAUGUUCCAACAGUGCUGCCAUUACUGAGCCCACAGGGUCGCCUCUCACAAAGCUGUGUGCUCUGGACUCUGGGAAGUGGCUCUGUUGGGUCCACCAUCACCAGCAUGGCCUUGAUACAGCCCAACGCUGCUUCUCCUCUGCUAUCUGCUAUACUGACUGCUGGGCUGUCAAUGUCCCCUCUUUGGGGGCUUUUCUUCUUUCCCCCUCAAAGCUGACCUCAAAACUGAUGCAGGAGGAGAGACCUCUGUUCAAAGGAGCCAUUCAAGUCCAAAGGAAAGAGGAAAAAAAGUCUGUCCUCAAACUAAUUCAACUUGUGUUCCAACAACAACACGGCAUUAACAAACUAAGAUAAUGCUCCUAUAACAGAAAGAGCACAAAACACAGACCAUGGCCAAUGCACUGUGUAGCCCUUGGUGCUUUUAUACUCUCAUUUUUGUGAGGUUUUGUUGCUAUAUCUGUAAGAGCACUAGACGUUGGCCAUGGUCAAUGCCCUCAGUGUUCUUAUUCCCUAUGUUUGGUCUUUUGGGUUUUCUGCUCUAUCAGUAAGAGCACAAAAUGUAGUCCAUGGCCGAUGCGUUGCGUAGCCCUUGGUGCUCUUCUUCUCCAUUUUUGGUCUGCUGGGUUUUCUCCUGUACCAGUAAGAGCACAAAAUGUACUCCACAACCGAUGCGUUGUGUAGCCCUUAGUGCUUUCAUUCUCUAUUUCUGAUCUUUUGUGUUUUCUGCUCUACCAGUAAAAGCCCCAGGCGUAGACCGUGGCCAAUGUGUUGCGUAGCCCUUGGCGCUCUUCUCUAUUUUUGGCCUUUUGGAUUUUCUCCUGUACCAGUAAGAGCACAGAAUGUACUCCAUAGUUGAUGCAUUGUGUAGCCCUUGGUGCUUUCGUUCUCCAUGUUUGGUCUUUUGGGUUUUCUGCUCUACUAGUAAGAGCACCAGGCACAGACGAUGGCCAAUGUGUUGCGUAGCCCUUGGUGCUCUUCUUCUCUAUUUUUGAUCUUUUGCUUUUCUCCUGUACCAGCAAGAGCACAAAAUGCACUCCACGACCAACACAAUCGCACGGCCUUCGAUGCUCUUAUUCCCUAUUUUCGGUCUUCUGGUGUUUGCCAGGUCCCACUGUGGCCCCAUGGAAGCGGUGCCAACAGCCACACUGUGCCCAUGGCCCCACGGCCGCUCCCCAGCUCCGUGCCGCUCGGAUCGCAGCAGAACAAACGCAUAAAAAUGAUCUUAUUUAUUACAGGAGACAUGUUUUAAAACAACUGACAAAAUUGCAAGAUGUAAAACGACAAGCGAGCGCUUUUUCUUUUUUAAACCCAUAUAGACUUCUGGCAAUGAUAAAAAUAGUGUUUUCCUUUUUAAAGUUGGAAUUAAUCUUUCUUUCGAAAGCAAUCAUGUAGCGGGAGAGGCAGGAAGACGCUCAGAUAUUAACUGGUGCUUGCUGGGUGAUGGUUACUUAUGGGAGAGCCGGUGGCCGCUUUCCUCUGCAGGGCGAUUCACAUUAAAGCACGGCGCCAACAUUAAAGGAAAAAGGAUGAAUGGCGCGAGGGGGGAGGAGAGCGUCGCCCACUUAUCAAAGCUGCGCCGUGCUCGGGGAUGGGCAGCAGAUCAAAACGCACAGCGUGGCUGACACCGGGGCACUUUGACAUCGCUUUGGACUCCUUUCACUGUUUGUCUUCCCGUGCAACGCUGCUGUGUCAGCGUGGGUUGAGCCGGCCUCCGUUUGCACGGCGGCGGUUGAGCGGUGCCGCCUCGUGCCUCGGUUUCCCCAUCGGUGAGGUGAGGAUUUGAGCAGAGCCUCCGCCGCAGCGUUCAGCAUCACAGCUCUCUGGGGGUGAUGCACCCCUCUCCAUAUUCCAUCGGGCCGCCACUGCGGGUGGGUCCAGCCCUCAGCAUCACUCAUACCUCUGUUUCCUUUAGUUCUUUGCCAGUGUUAGUUAAUUAAACUAUGCAAAUUAAAACAACUUAAUUUAUAUAAUAUCAGUGCCGGAGCCUCAAACCAUUUGGUGUAGCUCAUCUGGCACGUACGUUACAUAAAAUGUUUGGAGCGGCUCUAAUAAAAAUGAAAAAGGCUGUAAAUCAAGUUUAAUUUAUUCAUUUUCUGUACGGUAUUAAAGCAUGCCAAAAUCAGAUUAUUUAUGAGCCCUUCAUAACAAUAGGCAUUUUUAUUGGUUGCAAAUGACAAAAGGGUUUC
Centrocercus urophasianus (Greater sage-grouse) is the source of this 2412-nucleotide long non-coding RNA. RefSeq lists it as uncharacterized. Lineage: Eukaryota; Metazoa; Chordata; Aves; Galliformes; Phasianidae. The record is from RefSeq and is a predicted model, not a curated record. The transcript has 3 exons.